RNAcentral lists this ribosomal RNA (253 nucleotides) under uncultured bacterium. RNAcentral's name for it is "partial 16S ribosomal RNA". It matches the Rfam family "Bacterial small subunit ribosomal RNA", at positions 524 to 776 of the family's 1533-position model. The record is from RNAcentral.
UACAGAGGCCUCGAGCGUUAGGCGGAAUCACUGGGCUUAAAGCGUGUGUAGGCGGACUUCUAAGUACCUUGUGAAAUCCCACAGCUUAACUGUGGAACUGCUUGGUAUACUGGUUGUCUUGAGUCAUCUAGGGGCGAGCGGAACAAGUGGUGGAGCGGUGAAAUGCGUAGAUAUCGGAAGGAACACCCAAGGCGAAAGCACUCUGCUGGGCCGACACUGACACUGAGAGACGAAAGCUAGGGGAGCAAAUGGG